RNAcentral lists this ribosomal RNA (465 nucleotides) under Streptococcus mitis. Its description in RNAcentral is "bacterial SSU rRNA". It matches the Rfam family "Bacterial small subunit ribosomal RNA", at positions 28 to 476 of the family's 1533-position model. The record is from RNAcentral. Lineage: Bacteria; Bacillati; Bacillota; Bacilli; Lactobacillales; Streptococcaceae.
GACGAACGCUGGCGGCGUGCCUAAUACAUGCAAGUAGAACGCUGAAGGAGGAGCUUGCUUCUCUGGAUGAGUUGCGAACGGGUGAGUAACGCGUAGGUAACCUGCCUGGUAGCGGGGGAUAACUAUUGGAAACGAUAGCUAAUACCGCAUAAGAGUAGAUGUUGCAUGACAUUUGCUUAAAAGGUGCAAUUGCAUCACUACCAGAUGGACCUGCGUUGUAUUAGCUAGUUGGUGGGGUAACGGCUCACCAAGGCGACGAUACAUAGCCGACCUGAGAGGGUGAUCGGCCACACUGGGACUGAGACACGGCCCAGACUCCUACGGGAGGCAGCAGUAGGGAAUCUUCGGCAAUGGACGGAAGUCUGACCGAGCAACGCCGCGUGAGUGAAGAAGGUUUUCGGAUCGUAAAGCUCUGUUGUAAGAGAAGAACGAGUGUGAGAGUGGAAAAGUUCACACUGUGACGGU